GACGAACGCUGGCGGCGUGCUUAACACAUGCAAGUCGAACGGAAAGGCCCCUUUUGGGGUACUCGCGUGGCGAACGGGUGAGUAACACGUGAGUAACCUGCCCUCGACUUCGGGAUAACUUCAGGCAACUGGGUCUAAUACCUGAUAGGAAUCCUUGCUGCAUGGUGGGGGUUGGAAAGCUUCGGCGGUUUUGUAUGGACUCGCGGCUUAUCAGCUUGUUGGUGGGGUGGUGGCUUACCAAGGCUUUGACGGGUAGCCGGCCUGAGAGGGCGACCGGCCCCAUUGGGACUGAGAUAAGGCCCAGACUCCGACGGGAGGCAGCAGUGGGGAAUAUUGCAAAAUGGGCGGAAGCCUGAUGCAGCAACGCCGCGUGCGGGAUGACGGCCUUCGGGUUGUAAACCGCUUUCAGCAGGGGCGAAGCUUGUGGUGACGGUACCUGCAGAAGAAGCACCGGCUAACUACGUG
This 465-nucleotide ribosomal RNA is filed under the name uncultured bacterium. RNAcentral describes it as "partial 16S ribosomal RNA". It matches the Rfam family "Bacterial small subunit ribosomal RNA", at positions 28 to 507 of the family's 1533-position model. The record is from RNAcentral.